CAAUGAAGGGAAGUCCUUCCUCUCCUAAUUU
RNAcentral lists this transfer RNA (31 nucleotides) under Osteolaemus tetraspis (dwarf crocodile). Its description in RNAcentral is "partial tRNA-Met". The record is from RNAcentral. Lineage: Eukaryota; Metazoa; Chordata; Crocodylia; Crocodylidae.